This is a non-coding RNA of Polyrhizophydium stewartii, 84 nucleotides long. Lineage: Eukaryota; Fungi; Chytridiomycota; Chytridiomycetes; Rhizophydiales. The record is from the annotation of a GenBank genome assembly.
GCACGUAUGGCCGAGUGGUCCAAGGCGGUUGACUUAAGCUCAACUAACCGAAAGGUUGCGUGAGUUCGAACCUCACUGCGUGCA